CCACCUGUCGGGUCUGAGCUAUAGGAUGCCACAUUCGUUGCAAGAGCAACUACAAUAAAAUAUAAUCAAUUUAUACCAAUACACAUUUAAUUAUGAGCAAUUCAUGAAUAUGAUAUUAUUUACAAACCUUUCCGAGUCUUAUACGAGCAUAUGAAAGCUCUAAUGCUAACCCAAGGUCGAAUUAGGAUUAAAUUGUAAUAUUUUCAAAAUGUCAGGUUGACAUUGUGAUGCUAAGGGGUCCUUGCAACGCAACAUACUGAUUUGGUCUUG
This 270-nucleotide long non-coding RNA is filed under the name Gossypium barbadense (sea-island cotton). RNAcentral's name for it is "long non-coding RNA (GBAR_LNC007872)". Lineage: Eukaryota; Viridiplantae; Streptophyta; Magnoliopsida; Malvales; Malvaceae. The record is from RNAcentral.